GUCUAUGUCCAUGCCACCCUGAACACACUCCAUCCCAUCUAAUCUCGUAAACUAAGCAGGGUCGAGUCUGGUUAGUACUUGGAUGGGAGACCACCUAGGAAGACCAGGUGCUGUAGGCU
This 119-nucleotide ribosomal RNA is filed under the name Pteropus alecto (black flying fox). Lineage: Eukaryota; Metazoa; Chordata; Mammalia; Chiroptera; Pteropodidae. The record is from RNAcentral.